UACGUAGGGUGCAAGCGUUGUCCGGAAUUAUUGGGCGUAAAGAGCUCGUAGGCGGUCUGUCGCGUCGGCUGUGAAAACUCGGGGCUCAACCCCGAGCCUGCAGUCGAUACGGGCAGACUAGAGUGCUGUAGGGGAGACUGGAAUUCCUGGUGUAGCGGUGAAAUGCGCAGAUAUCAGGAGGAACACCGGUGGCGAAGGCGGCAUCCUGGACCGGCAUUGACGCUGAGGCGCGAAAGCCAGGGGAGCAAACGGG
RNAcentral lists this ribosomal RNA (253 nucleotides) under uncultured bacterium. RNAcentral's name for it is "partial 16S ribosomal RNA". It matches the Rfam family "Bacterial small subunit ribosomal RNA", at positions 524 to 776 of the family's 1533-position model. The record is from RNAcentral.